CCCGCCCCGCCCCCGGCCGCCCCGGCACCGCCUUUUUCCGGUGCCCGUUCCCGGCCGCGUCCGGCUGCCUGUGCCGGUGGGGCGUUAGUUCCGGGCCCAGGUUGGGCUGACGGUAGGUCGGGAGAGGCCGCGGUGUCCCCGCCAUUGCGCAGAUUGCCGGGCACCUGGUGAGGCCGAGGCGACGCCGAGCGCAGGCAAGCCGGAAACCGCGCAGCCCUGCUGGACCUGGCUGAUUGCGGGCGGCACCGGUGGGUUCGCGACCUUGAACAGGUGACUCCAAUCGCUCCAGGACAGCGCGCCCUUCGCCGAACUGCCAGAUAAGCCGAGCUUGAGGCUGUCGUAGCCCCACUGGGCAGUCCUGAAAGUCGCAGGGGCGCCUUUGCCUCUCAGAAAGUAGGAUGGGGAAAAAAACCCACCGUUUCCUCACAGACAGAGGACUCAGCCUGUAAGAGCAAAAUGCCCCAAAUCAGCAUCGCCAUAAAAACGGAGUAGAGAAAGAACAGAAGAUGCUGCACAUGAGGAGAGGAAGGUUAUGCCUUCACCCUUGGUGACACACAAAAAAAGUGGCCAUAAGAAAAAAUGUGAA
Molecule: long non-coding RNA, 586 nt
Organism: Sapajus apella (tufted capuchin)
Lineage: Eukaryota; Metazoa; Chordata; Mammalia; Primates; Cebidae
Exons: 2
Source: RefSeq, a predicted model, not a curated record